UCACCCGUAUGGAAACAUUUUCAGCUGAUGUCACCUAAUAAAAUAUACACAUAGUUAUAAAUUAGUAUUAAUAGUAUUUAUAUAAUUAAUGUUAAAAAAAACGUGACAAGACUUUUAUCCCUUGUUCUAGUUUCUUUCUUCUAAUUUCCGGUGUAUUUAAAGGUGAAGUGUUGUUUUGGCUCAACAGUAACACCUGAUCUGACAUUACAGAGCCCUGCGUGAAAACCAGAGCAGCUCAGGUAACGUUGUGUGUCAUCAGUGGCGAAUAGUGCAGUGGAUGAGGCCUUGGUUAUUGAGGAUCCCCAACUCAUCACUAUUGUGGAGGACAAAGUGUUCAGGAAGCUUGUUAAAGCUCUGAGCCCUGCUGAUGUUCUCCCCACAGGAUAGAUGUGCAUGUGAGCAUUUUACCUCAUUUCCUCAUAUUUGCCAUUCCAAGACUGGCAAAUUAUUUCCUUUAGGCUUUGAAAGCUGUAGUGAAGGACAGAUAAGCUAUAAUGAUUCAAACCCAAAGCCACUGUGUCAAAGACAUCUGUAGUUAGUUUAACAGCAAAUAUAUGAACCUCUAUCAGCACCACUGCAAGGAUUAUAUGCUUUUUGUCAUUGCAAUAUUCUAACUGAUGCCAUUUUGUUUAAGUUGCUGCAGCAGUGACACUUGAAUAAAUCACUUUUUGUUCACUGAUUUUAUAGGAGACACUGACACAUGUGUUGGAGCAAACAGGUCAGCCGGCUUAAAGAUGAUUAAAGAGAUGAAUACACAUAUUUGAACAGCACAUACCAUAUGCUCCAACAUGUUUAUGAUCUCAGGGAACCUGCAGGAGCACACUGACAUUGUCCCAUAAGAACAUCUCAUCUGAACAGUAAAAAAAUUAUUUUAGAAAGUCUAAAAAGUGCUGUCCCCAUUUAAUGAUGCCACAGUUGAGCCACUAAAUGUCAUUCCCCUUCAUCAUUGCUGCGCCAUGCACGAGAGGAGGAAGGAAAUGGCCACUGUCCAUACUCCAGAGAGUCUGAGGAGACGGUUAAAGGAGAAGCUGUACAUUUUACAGUAAAUGAGCAUCAUAUCACUGGCAGCACUGCUCGAUCCCUGGUUUAAAAACACAGUCUACAUUAACUCUGGUAAAGCAGCAGAUGAUGAGGAGAUGCUCACUUCUAAAUCUGCUGUUGUUAUACAAAACAGCACUGCUUCCUCCUCAUCAUCAUCACAGCUGCACAUAUUAGAAGCUUCUCAGUCUGUGAUUCAAGAAGAAAUGGACACAUUCUAAUUAUGUUAUUGCCUUUAGUCACUUAUAGCCUGUUUAUGUUAGGUAGCAAACUGUGCUGCUGGUUGGACACCACAGUCCUGCAGACGAGGACCAACCAGCACUGUAGACUCUCUGUGGGCUCCUCCUGUUUGUCUUUUUACAUUUUUAUUCCUUUUAUUAUUCAAACUAAGAUCAGAUUGGUUAUUAUUCUGGGUGCUGUGGUGAG
Molecule: long non-coding RNA, 1464 nt
Organism: Oreochromis niloticus (Nile tilapia)
Lineage: Eukaryota; Metazoa; Chordata; Actinopteri; Cichliformes; Cichlidae
Exons: 2
Source: RefSeq, a predicted model, not a curated record